CUCUGGAAGGUCCUGCAGAUGUGAAACUGGGUGGUGGUGUCACCUGCUGACAGCGGUGGGUUUUUCUUCCCUUGGGUGCCAUGAGGGUGAAGAGCUGGGGCGAAUACUUGGAGGACGGGCACUUGGUUUGGUUCUGUUUUCUACAUGUCCAUCUCUACUGGGUUAUCCAUCCACCGGGUCACAUAUUGUCCUUGAGUUGCCCACAAGUCCUGGGGAUCUACCAAAAUGUCCCUCUCAACAGCGGUGACUUCCUGGUCUUGGGUGGGGGACAGUGAGCUGGAUUGUGUCCCCGAAGUUCCGCUCAACCCCUCCUUUUGACUCGGCACUUGUUCUUCCCACCUGGUCUCAAACAUAGACUAUCUUCACAGACUUCUCGGCUUGGUUCCCCCUCCCCUAGAAAACGUCUUGGUUGGGAGUGGAGACACAUACUCACACAGACCCACAACAGACACAACACACACAAACACACAGAGACACACACAGACACAUACACACCCUGACACACACAGAGAGACACACAGACACAUACACACACUGACACAUACACACGGGCACACACAUAUAUAUUCACACACAUACACAGACACAACACACACAAAAGACACAACACACACAAACUUACCCACACAGAGACACACAGACACAUACACACACUAACACAUACACACAGAGGCACACAUACACAUGUUCGCACAUAUACAUAGACACACACAGACACACACAUUCACACACAGAGACACACACAAACACUAAUAUAUACAGACACACAGAGACACACACACACAGACACAAACACACACAGACACAGACACACAGGCACAAACACAAGCACACUCGUUCAUACCCAAGAGGGUCUCGUGGCUACUGUGGCCACUAG
Molecule: long non-coding RNA, 877 nt
Filed under: Homo sapiens (human)
Lineage: Eukaryota; Metazoa; Chordata; Mammalia; Primates; Hominidae
Description: HSALNT0157815
Source: RNAcentral